GCCUCCGCUUUUCUUUAAGGACUCAGCUUCUGAAGAUGAAGUGCUGCCCACAUCAGAAGUCCCCUUACCUGAACAAAGCUGUUGCCCAGUAGCAGUGUGCUUUUGUUUCUCCAUUUUAGCUUCAGAUGAUGGUUUGUUUUCAGGGAGCACACUCAUGAGUGUUUCCUUUUGCUUUAAUGUGCAACUUUUCUGCUUCACAGUUUCCAGAUAUCGAAGCACCUCUGGCUUGGAAUAGAAUUUGCAGCCAGUAGAAAUAUCAACAUAACACUUGUAUAUUUUUCCGCUUGCAAAGCCACUUUGUCUGGUUCUCAACUCCACAA
RNAcentral lists this unclassified non-coding RNA (320 nucleotides) under Hevea brasiliensis (rubber tree). Lineage: Eukaryota; Viridiplantae; Streptophyta; Magnoliopsida; Malpighiales; Euphorbiaceae. The record is from RNAcentral.